RNAcentral lists this long non-coding RNA (490 nucleotides) under Rattus norvegicus (Norway rat). RNAcentral's name for it is "long non-coding RNA NONRATT018500". The record is from RNAcentral. Lineage: Eukaryota; Metazoa; Chordata; Mammalia; Rodentia; Muridae.
AACACUUAGUAAAAGUACUUUAUUUUCUUCUUGUAUUUGCUUUAUAUCUCACUUACAAAGUUAUGAAGUUUACAGCUUUUAUACCAAAAUGUAAGAAGGCUGUUUAGAAAUAUCUUUGCAGUCAAAUGUCAUCUGACAUUUCUUCUAAUCCACAUUUAACAUUGAAAAACCAAGGUUCUCAAUGAUAGGACAUGGAUGAAACCACCACAAGUAUGGCAAGUAGUCUUUAGAAUAAUUCUAGAACUCUCCUUGAAGCAACAGGAACAAAUUUGCUAAGUAAGCAUUUGCGAAUUUAAGCAAACCUACUUCCUGUUCAAACCCCACUUUACAAUGAAUUUCAAAAUCCUCCUCAAUGAAUUAUCUUCCAUAAAAUUAUCUCCCAUAUCAUUCUUUAAGUGUGCACCUACACUCAGCAACUCAGCCACAUGCCCAUGUCCCCAAGUUGUGCCAUGAUAAUCUAACAGAAAAACAAAAAAACCCAACAACAAAA